GACGAACGCUGGCGGCGUGCCUAAUACAUGCAAGUAGAACGCUGAAGGAGGAGCUUGCUUCUCUGGAUGAGUUGCGAACGGGUGAGUAACGCGUAGGUAACCUGCUUGGUAGCGGGGGAUAACUAUUGGAAACGAUAGCUAAUACCGCAUAAGAGUAGAUGUUGCAUGACAUUUGCUUAAAAGGUGCAAUUGCAUCACUACCAGAUGGACCUGCGUUGUAUUAGCUAGUUGGUGGGGUAACGGCUCACCAAGGCGACGAUACAUAGCCGACCUGAGAGGGUGAUCGGCCACACUGGGACUGAGACACGGCCCAGACUCCUACGGGAGGCAGCAGUAGGGAAUCUUCGGCAAUGGACGGAAGUCUGACCGAGCAACGCCGCGUGAGUGAAGAAGGGUUUCGGAUCGUAAAGCUCUGUUGUAAGAGAAGAACGAGUGUGAGAGUGGAAAGUUCACACUGUGACGGUAUCUUACCAGAAAGGGACGGCUAACUACGUG
RNAcentral lists this ribosomal RNA (495 nucleotides) under uncultured bacterium. RNAcentral's name for it is "partial 16S ribosomal RNA". It matches the Rfam family "Bacterial small subunit ribosomal RNA", at positions 28 to 507 of the family's 1533-position model. The record is from RNAcentral.